ACUGGCACUGGAUUGUGAAAUGGUAUGAUAUCAGUUAUGAUUGAAGAUUAGAAAAUGUUUUGAAGCAUUGGAAAUGGCACUGAGAUAUGAAUUAAGAAUAUAUUUGUAUGAAUGUUGUAGCUGGGAAUAAUAUAAGCAUAAAAAAUAUCAUCAUUUUACUAUUGUUUGAGUGUAAACCUUUCUUUAAGGUCAUCAAAUGAAACUAUUGGGUCUGUUUGGCAUUGCUGAUUGAGCUACUGUUGAGAAAAUUAUUUUUUUAAA
RNAcentral lists this unclassified non-coding RNA (261 nucleotides) under Hevea brasiliensis (rubber tree). Lineage: Eukaryota; Viridiplantae; Streptophyta; Magnoliopsida; Malpighiales; Euphorbiaceae. The record is from RNAcentral.